GGGGGCGUACUGGUUUCGACCAGAGAGAUGCGUCAGGGAUGGCAUGCCGAGGAUGGUCUGUGGGCCUCGUUAAUCAUCGGACCAAUCGUUAACUGCCAACGAAGAACUGGCCCUCGCCGCUUAAAUGCUGCGACGUCUGCUGCCCGACACCGGCUGGGGUGGACAGACGCUAUAGCCGGUUAGGUCGCCGCCGGAGACCGCGCGGUGGCGACCGAAAAAACUCCAUGCGGACUAAUCGGCGGGAUUCGUGCCGGAACGUCAUCCCGUCGAUGAACAACAAUGUCCGGCUAAGCAUGUAGAGGUUCUUGGCAAGUUUUUUUGGGACGCGGGUUCAACUCCCGCCGCCUCCACCA
This 353-nucleotide small RNA is filed under the name Verrucomicrobiia. Its description in RNAcentral is "SIAT01 sp009691645 Standard tmRNA". It matches the Rfam family "transfer-messenger RNA". Rfam says of the family: Bacterial tmRNA, also known as 10Sa RNA or SsrA, is named for its dual tRNA and mRNA-like properties. Its role is to liberate the mRNA from a stalled ribosome. RNAcentral also lists the same sequence under 1 other name. The record is from RNAcentral. Lineage: Bacteria; Pseudomonadati; Verrucomicrobiota.